GCCGAGGUGGCGGAACUGGUAGACGCGCCAGAUUUAGGUUCUGGUGGGGCAUCCCGUGGAGGUUCGAGUCCUCUCCUCGGCACCA
This 85-nucleotide transfer RNA is filed under the name Wenzhouxiangella sp. XN79A. RNAcentral describes it as "tRNA-Leu". It matches the Rfam family "tRNA". Rfam says of the family: Transfer RNA (tRNA) molecules are approximately 80 nucleotides in length. Their secondary structure includes four short double-helical elements and three loops (D, anti-codon, and T loops). Lineage: Bacteria; Pseudomonadati; Pseudomonadota; Gammaproteobacteria; Chromatiales; Wenzhouxiangellaceae. The record is from RNAcentral.